UACGGGGGGGGCAAGCGUUGUUCGGAAUUACUGGGCGUAAAGGGCUCGUAGGCGGCCAACUAAGUCGGAUGUGAAAUCCCCAGGCUCAACCUGGGAACUGCAUCCGAUACUGGAUGGCUUGAAUCCGGGAGAGGGAUGCAGAAUUCCAGGUGUAGCGGUGAAAUGCGUAGAUAUCUGGAGGAAUACCGGUGGCGAAGGCGGCAUCCUGGACCGGCAUUGACACUGAGGAGCGAAAGCUAGGGGAGCAAACGGG
RNAcentral lists this ribosomal RNA (253 nucleotides) under uncultured bacterium. Its description in RNAcentral is "partial 16S ribosomal RNA". It matches the Rfam family "Bacterial small subunit ribosomal RNA", at positions 524 to 776 of the family's 1533-position model. The record is from RNAcentral.